This 253-nucleotide ribosomal RNA is filed under the name uncultured bacterium. RNAcentral describes it as "partial 16S ribosomal RNA". It matches the Rfam family "Bacterial small subunit ribosomal RNA", at positions 524 to 776 of the family's 1533-position model. The record is from RNAcentral.
UACGUAGGGGGCUAGCGUUGUCCGGAAUCAUUGGGCGUAAAGAGCGUGUAGGCGGUCCGGUAAGUCCGCUGUGAAAGUCGGGGGCUCAACCCUCGAAUGCCGGUGGAUACUGUCGAGCUAGAGUGCGGAAGAGGCGAGUGGAAUUCCUGGUGUAGCGGUGAAAUGCGCAGAUAUCAGGAGGAACACCUAUUGCGAAGGCAGCUCGCUGGGACGUAACUGACGCUGAGACGCGAAAGCGUGGGGAGCAAACAGG